UGGAUAACGAUAUAUAUAUGAAACUCCCUGAGGGAUUGAAAAUGCCAGGGGCAUUGAAAGAAAAAUCCAGGGAGAUUUGUUCGUUCAAGUUACAGCGAUCACUUUACGGAUUAUAACAAUCCGGACGCAUGUGCUACAAUCUCUUAAGUGAAUAUGUCUUGGAAAAGGGAUAUGUGUAUAAUGCGAUAUGUCCAUGCGUUUUUAUAAAGAAAUCGUCAUCUGACUUUGUGAUCAUUGUUGUAUAUGUAGACGACUUGACCAUAAUUGGAACUCAAAAGGAGGUUGAUGAUGCUCGAACUCAUAUGAAAGAAGAGUUCGAAAUAAAAGAUCUCGGCAAGACAAAGUUUUGUCUUGGGCUCCAAAUAGAGCAUCUCCGAGAAAGAAUAAUUGUGCAUCAAUCAAUCCAUACGAAAAGGUUGUCGAAAUGCUUUGGUAUGAAUAAAGCGACUCUUUUGAGUACUCCAAUGGCAAAUAGAUCUCUCGAUGAAAGAGAUGUUUAAAAGAUCCUGGUAAGAUCUUACAUAAAUAAGUACUUUGAAGAUGCUAAUGGUAAUAAAGCAUAUAUGAGCUUACAUAUCUUGCGAGUUGUGUUUGAUUAAAUAUACGUUUAGACACUAAUAUCUUUGCAAGAUAUAGCUCAUUUCCUAUUUAUGGAAAUUAGAACGGCGUCGAGAACAUAUCCGUUCUCUCCAAGGUACGUAUUGAUUUAGGAUUGAUUUAUCCUAGAAACCCCGAAAACACGUCUACAGUAUCGGAAUGCGGCAUUUGCGUGACUUUUGAAGAAAAAGCUAAGUCCACUAUUCUCAUGGGGAGAUUACGGCAGUAUACUAUUUUUCCCUCUUCACGGUUUUUAUCCCAAAGGGUUUUUCCGUGAUUAGGUUUUUAAUAAGGCACUACAUAAUACAUGAUUGGAUAAUCAAGGGGGAGAGUUAAAAUAUGAAUGAUUAUCCAAUAACACUUGUCAUGGUCUCAUAUCAUCCUCAUCACUUCCACAUGUCAUAUGUUCCAAGAGGUUUUUAUAUUAUCAGCAGUACAUAUGUCAGAUAUAUAUUUUUGUCCUUUUCUUAUCAGUUGGUGAAAUAAACCGACUCUUCCUCUCUAUAAAUAGAGUUGUAAAAGAAAAAAGGAAUUGAAUUAAGAAUCUGAAUCUCUUUCAACAUCUCUCUCAAUCUGUUGUCUCAUCUCUCUCUCUUUUUGUCUUGUCACUUUUACACACCCACUAACAAAUAUAUAUACAAUAAUAAAUAUAAACACUACCUCAGAUUUAUUAUAUAACACCGAGGUAAUUUUCAAGGCAUUGUUGUGGGUUAUUGCGGCAAUGGCGCUUAUAAUGGCCGAGGAGGCUCGUACACAGCUAGUGCCUUGCUAUUUCGUUUUCGGAGACUCAGUCUUCGACAACGGUAACAACAAUGACUUGAACACUACCGUCAAAGUUCAUUAUUCACCUUAUGGUAUUGAUUUUGCUAGAGGUCCUACCGGCCGGUUUAGCAAUGGCCGUAAUAUUCCCGACUUUAUCGCUGAACUAAUGGGAUUCAGUGAUUACAUUCCACCUUUUGCUGGAGCAUCUCCUCAACAAGCUCACACUGGUAUAAACUAAGCUUCUGGUGCUGCCGGAAUUCUCGAAGAGACUAGCUACCAUUUGGGCGAUAAAAUCAGUUUUGAAAAGCAAAUAAAGAAUCAUCGGACGAUUAUAAUGACGGACGAUUAUAAUGACGGCGAAUGUGCCAUCCGAGAAGCUGGAGAAAUGCCUAUACACAAUUAAUAUUGGAAGCAAUGAUUAUCUCAACAAUUAUUUCAUGCAAGUUAUUAUAUGUCCAAGGAGCAAGGAAGGUGGGGUUGUUUGGGGUCAGUAAGCUCGGAUGCACGCCGCGAAUGAUCGCCUCCCAUGGUGGUGGUCUAGGCUGCGCUGCUGAAGUGAACAAAGCUGUUGAAUCAUUCAACAAGAACCUCAAAGAUCUGGUCAGUGAGUUUAACACAAACUUCAACGAUGCUAAGAUCACUUACGUUGAUAUCUUCACCAGUCAAACUCCUCUUGCGUAGGGUUUACGGAAACACAGAAGAAUUGUUGUUCGGUCGAAUCAGGGGCAGAACUAUGUGCGGCAAAUAAACCGGUUUGUGAGUUUCGAAGAAGGUACGUGUACUGGGACAAAGUCCACAGCACUGAGGCGGCCAACAUGUUUGUGGCAAAUUCUGCGUUUGCUGGAGUCACUGCUUUUCCUUAUAGCCUUGCCUUACUUGCAGAACUAUAGGGACAAUAUACUCGAAAACAUCAUUCGCACAUAUAUAUAUAUAUAUUUGGGAGAUAUUGGUAAAAUAAGCCAUAGUGAUAAUACUUUUGUCUGUUUAUACAUUUGUAUUAAUUGAUCAGUUUUGGACAUAAUU
Brassica napus (rape) is the source of this 2382-nucleotide RNA transcript. It is a transcript of the gene named GDSL esterase/lipase At2g19050-like, with no coding region annotated. NCBI's taxonomy places the organism in Eukaryota, Viridiplantae, Streptophyta, Magnoliopsida, Brassicales, Brassicaceae. The transcript has 5 exons. The record is from RefSeq and is a predicted model, not a curated record.